Non-coding RNA from Xylaria bambusicola, 92 nucleotides. The record is from the annotation of a RefSeq genome assembly. Lineage: Eukaryota; Fungi; Ascomycota; Sordariomycetes; Xylariales; Xylariaceae.
GGCCUCGUGGCCUAAUGGCUAGGGCGCUAGAUUUCGGUGCUAUAUAGCAGCAGAUUCUCUAGAGAUUGUCGGUUCGAGUCCGGCCGAGGUCG